UUGUCCUACGGGAGGCAGCAGCAGGGAAUCUUCGGCAAUGGGGGCAACCCUGACCGAGCAACGCCGCGUGAGUGAAGAAGGUUUUCGGAUCGUAAAGCUCUGUUGUAAGAGAAGAACGUGUGUGAGAGUGGAAAGUUCACACAGUGACGGUAACUUACCAGAAAGGGACGGCUAACUACGUGCCAGCAGCCGCGGUAAUACGUAGGUCCCGAGCGUUAUCCGGACUUAUUGGGCGUAAAGCGAGCGCAGGCGGUUUGAUAAGCCUGAAGUUAAAGGCUGGGGCUUAACCAUAGGUUGCUUUGGAA
RNAcentral lists this ribosomal RNA (305 nucleotides) under uncultured bacterium. RNAcentral describes it as "bacterial SSU rRNA". It matches the Rfam family "Bacterial small subunit ribosomal RNA", at positions 334 to 631 of the family's 1533-position model. The record is from RNAcentral.